GACUCCUACGGGAGGCAGCAGUGAGGAAUAUUGGUCAAUGGACGAGAGUCUGAACCAGCCAAGUAGCGUGAAGGAUGACUGCCCUAUGAGUUGUAAACCGCUUUUGUACGAGGGUAAACUCACCUACGUGUAGGUGACUGAAAGUAUCGUACGAAUAAGGAUCGGCUAACUCCGUGCCAGCAGCCGCGGUAAUA
This 194-nucleotide ribosomal RNA is filed under the name uncultured bacterium. RNAcentral describes it as "partial 16S ribosomal RNA". It matches the Rfam family "Bacterial small subunit ribosomal RNA", at positions 334 to 525 of the family's 1533-position model. The record is from RNAcentral.